CGAUGAACCACUUCGGUGGGGAUUAGUGGCGAACGGGUGAGUAACACGUGGGCAAUCUGCCCUUCACUCUGGGACAAGCCCUGGAAACGGGGUCUAAUACCGGAUAUCACUUCCACUCGCAUGGGUGGGGGUUGAAAGCUCCGGCGGUGAAGGAUGAGCCCGCGGCCUAUCAGCUUGUUGGUGAGGUAAUGGCUCACCAAGGCGACGACGGGUAGCCGGCCUGAGAGGGCGACCGGCCACACUGGGACUGAGACACGGCCCAGACUCCUACGGGAGGCAGCAGUGGGGAAUAUUGCACAAUGGGCGAAAGCCUGAUGCAGCGACGCCGCGUGAGGGAUGACGGCCUUCGGGUUGUAAACCUCUUUCAGCAGGGAAGAAGCGAAAGUGACGGUACCUGCAGAAGAAGCGCCGGCUAACUACGUGCCAGCAGCCGCGGUAAUACGUAGGGCGCAAGCGUUGUCCGGAAUUAUUGGGCGUAAAGAGCUCGUAGGCGGUCUGUCACGUCGGAUGUGAAAGCCCGGGGCUUAACCCCGGGUCUGCAUUCGAUACGGGCAGACUAGAGUGUGGUAGGGGAGAUCGGAAUUCCUGGUGUAGCGGUGAAAUGCGCAGAUAUCAGGAGG
Molecule: ribosomal RNA, 620 nt
Filed under: Streptomyces sp. ANA3009
Lineage: Bacteria; Bacillati; Actinomycetota; Actinomycetes; Kitasatosporales; Streptomycetaceae
Description: bacterial SSU rRNA
Rfam family: Bacterial small subunit ribosomal RNA
Source: RNAcentral